Molecule: long non-coding RNA, 25201 nt
Filed under: Marmota monax (woodchuck)
Lineage: Eukaryota; Metazoa; Chordata; Mammalia; Rodentia; Sciuridae
Source: RNAcentral
CUCGCGGGCGGCGGCCUUGGCGACCCACCCUGCGCGGAUCUCCGGGCCCGGGCUGCGGGCGUGUGCCAGGGGAUCUCCGGCGGCCCUUGGGGAUCAGGCCUAGCGGGGCGGGAAGGCCCACAAGCAGCGCGCCCGGGAGAGCCGGUGAGACGACGGCGCGCGGCCGGCUACGCGGGGCGGGGGGCCGGGGCGGACGGAGGGCCCGGCGCGCGGCCGAAUGUGCUUGGCGCUUGGUCGUCGCCGCAUUGUCGUCUGGCGGUGGUCCCCCUGAACAGCCCGAGGCCACUAGGCUGAGCCUGGCAGACCUUUACAGAUGCCGAGAACGGCGCCCGCCUGCAGGAUGACGCGCAGUUUGCCCGGCGCCGGAUUUCGUGGCGGCGCGCGGCACCGGAGCCUCCAGGGCCCAGGGAAGGGUUGAGUGGAGACGGCGUCGGCGCGACGGUCGUGGGUCCCCAGACCGCAUGCCUUUGUGUUGGCCUGCGUGAGCGAAGGGUCACUUAGCCCUCGGUGCGCUCGGCUACGCUCGGCUAGCAGAAAGGCGUGCGUGGUUUCAGGCUGAGGCUGGAGGUGGACCUCAGCCGGGGGUUUUCAGGUUAAAGCAGUUUAUGACCUUCGGCAAGGCCAGGUUGGGAGUCCUCGUGGACGUUCCCAUCGACCUUCCCGAAUGUGCACGGGGUCUCACUGCGCGCCCCGGGCAGGCCUGGAGGCAUUCAGAAUCGUCCCGCAGAGCACUCAUUUCACUGGGUCUCAGCCACUACCCACGAGUAUUGAAAAAUAAAAUUGUUACUUGAAAAAAAUUCAUUUGUAUAAUAGAUAAACUGACAUCUUUUAAAAACUGACAUCCUGUAGUCAUGAAGAAUGGAAAUUGAAGUUUCAAUGAUAAACAGUAAAUCUCAUAAAAACACCAUCUUAAGACAGGGUCCACAUCUAUAAUAUGGAAUGUCCAACUGCAAAGUUACAGGAAAAAUGCCCCAUGGAGGCUUCCAUUUUAUAUUCUGGAUAGCUAGAUCUUAUCACUGAUUUUUGUAACACUUAAAAGAUGACCCACUUUAGGGUAAUAUUUCAUUUCUGGAAGCUUCACAUCUUUUGUGAUUUGGAGGCAUUUACCACCCCAAAUAUAAUAACCCUAGUGUAGAUGAAUUUUGAGUUUUUCCAAAUAAGUUCCAAGCAUGAUCAUUUUGCUUGAUAACCUUAAGUGAAUAAACAGCCUGCUUACUGCUAAUUUGGUAAAUAUAGUGAUAUGUUUUUCGUUUCCUCUUAGAAAUUUAGAUAACUAAGGAAAAGUCAAAGUAGGAUUGAGAAUAUUUAGAAUAGUACCUACUGAGAUAAACCUGAGACCAUUAUUUAGAUAAGAAUUUCCAAAUGGCUUUUUUAAAAUGAAUUUUUAUGUUGAAUACCACAGUCUCUUAGUUUCAUGGUCUGUUCAGUUUAGCUAGACACAGACCCCCUAAAGUUAGAUAUUAAUGUUUAAUAACUCUUUAGCCUGGAUUUAUAGGUCACCACACUCAGUCUUACAUGAGAAGGACAGACCGCUUAAGUUAGAGACAUAGGCCAGAGUUUCAUCACAGGAAAGGUCAGAAACCCAAAGGGCAUCCUUUGUGGGGAGGUUUCAACAAAUUGGUUCUGAGAGCUCAGUGCUACCACUAGUUGUGCAGUGUAGGAAAACUGAAAAAGCACAAGUUACCCCAAAUUCCUGUUGAGAUCCUUCUAGACUGUUCGAUAUAGAUGUAUUCUUCCUUUAAAAAAAGGUCACACACCAUGCAUUUCUUUUGCCCUUCAAGAGAAAAAAAAUGUCAAGAAUGGCCUUCCUUGUCUGUAAAUAAUAGAUCACUUAAUAGAUACAUGAUACUCCAUUGUUUGACUUGCUAAUGGAAAAUAACAAUUCUGCUUUGAGGAAAUAAAAAUAAUUGUUUAUUCUGAGCUAAAUAUGAAUGACCGUGCCCUAGCUAGUCAACUCCAGUUACCUGGAGAGAUGCAGCUCCCCGUGGAGAAGAUUGGGCAAGCUCUUGUAGACCACAGGAAAUAGGUGGAGUCAUCAGUAAGCAGACUGUCAAGGAGCUGGGAAACCUGCAAGAUUUGGAUGUGUUCCAGGGAAUUCAGGGGCUGUCUCCUGUCUCAUUUCCCAGCCUUAAGGUUGGGAGAGGCCACAGGUUCAUCAAGCUUAGCAUACAUUUAUCCCGUGGCCACAAAGAUGCGAAGUCAGACACCAAGGCCAACAAAAAGUGUGUUAAAAGGGUCCCAAGGUAGUCCAGUAUAGUCUUGGCUUCUUAAUGAACUCUGUGCUCCAAGAAGCUCCCAAAUAAAAGUGCAGCCCCUACAGAGAACUUCAGUUCACAGCCUUCCAUAAUUUAAUUCUGUGUUGCACAUUCACCACUUCCAGUUUAACAAUUACAAACGAUGCUUUGAUGAAGCAAAUCCUCUCAAGAUAGGAGUACAUAUAGGAUGCAGUAAAGAUAAUUUUAAAAUCUUUAAUUACUUAAUAGAUAUUUAUUGGAUUUGGGGUUACUUGCUUUAUAUGACAAAAAUGAAUAAUGUGAUACCAUCCCGUGCUUUCAGAUCAGAAACUCCCAUCCCUGAGCACAGUGCCUGAGCUCAGAGCGCAUUGGUCAAGAGGAUUUGAAUCACUGAUUCUGAACCAGGCAGGCACUUUUGAAACCCCUGAAAGAUAACACGUUUUCAUCUCCAGCCACUUGCAUUGGCCAGAACCUAGGCUCAUGACCCCAACCUCAACUGCAGGGGAGCUGGGUCUUCCUGUGUGUCUAAGAAAUGGCAUUGCCAAUUUCUGUAAUUUAUGGUUUUUAAAGAAAAAAAUCUACAAAAUAAGAUUUGAGAAUACAAAAUAAAAUGAAAGUUUUUGAAGAUAACUUUUUAAAAAAAUCCUUAAUUACUCAGUAUUUAUUGAAUUGGGGUUAUUUGUUUUAUAUGACAAAGAUUCAUAGUCUUUUUACAAAGUAAACCUCUAGGUUCAUUUUUGCAAUCGGUGUUUAUCACAGGCCUGUAACCAAUGUUGGGUAUCUUUCAUUUGACUGCCCACCCUCAGAUCUAAACUAUCCUUCACUGAUUUCUACCCUAGUAGCUGACUCAAAUAAAUUACACAAAUGGUCUCCCUGGUACUCGGGCUUGAAUUGAAUCUGACCCAUGGGGACUUCCAGCAGGAACUUGAGAACUGAGGGGUGGGAGGGAGGUCAUAGUGUGUUGAUCUCCCACCUACCUUGGGAGGUCACCUUGAACUGGCAAAAGACCCUGUUCUACAAGAUCCCUCUUCCCUGCCUGGACAUCCUUAUCUCUGGACCUAAGGGGGGUGAGGUCUCCUUGAUUCUUUCCCCAGGUUCCUUCCCCAUUGUUCACUCUGCCUACACCUUCGUGAGUAGUCCCUUCAUAAACUCUCAGGUAAUUCUGAGUACAGGUGUCCUUAUUAUGGCCCUGUUAUAAUGGACAUAAAACCUCAACGGGAUAGCAAGGUUUCUUACUUUAAAAUAUUGUCUGUUGGGGCUGGGGAUAUGGCUCAGCGGUAGAGCACUCACCUUGCAUGUUCAAGGCCCUGGGUUCGAUCCUCAGCACCACAUAUAAAUAAAUAAAGUUAUUGUGUACAACUACAAAAAAUAAAUAUUAAAAAAAAUAUUGUCUGUCCUGGAAAAACUAACAAACAUGUGGACACAUGAGCCAAACACUGAUGGAUUAAUCGUGCGAGAGGUCCCUGUGCGCUGCUGAGGAUGCUUGGAUAGGUGGGCAGAGGGGAGUCACAGACGGGAGGAAGAGGCCAGAAUGCUGGUACUGAUGGAAUAAAAUUUUGCACAUUUUAGAUAGUACAUCAUCAAUGAUUUGAUGUAAGGUUAAAAACUAGGGAAUAAUGAAAGACUUGUGUCCUGUGUGUGAAGAUCGUGGAGUCCCAUCACCAGAAGAGGUUGUUGCAUUGAGACCUAAUAAUCCCAUAGUUUACUAGCCAUGUGAAGUUAAGAACCUCAUGACAGCCUGGCUGUAGGAUUCACUGCUUACUCUUGGGGAUUAAACUAUGUUUUCCCAACAGAUAUUAUUAAGUCUUAACUAAGAUUCUACCCCUGCCUGUAAAUGUAGACUUAUUUGGAAAUAAGGUCUUUGCACAAGUUAAAAUGAGGUUAUACCAGAUUAGGGUGGGCCCUAAAUCUGAUCACUCGUGUCCUUAUAAGAAACAUUAAAUUUGAAUACUUAGGGAAGAUGCCAAGCAGUGAUAGAAAUGGAGUAGGAGUGAUUCUUCCCUCAAGCCUUGAGAGAGCAAGGCCCUGCCAUUUCCUUCAUUUCUUACCUCCAGAACUGAGAGUAAGUUUCUGUUGUUUCAAGCUAACCAGUGUGUGAUUUUUGCUACAGCAGCCCUAAGAAACCAAUAACUGGGCAUCCCUAAAGGACAGUCCCCAAACAAAAAUUUUCACUCUUGAGUUAUAGGAAUGUGCAUGCAAGCAUUCCAUUUGCCCAUAGCUUUCAGAUGUUAACAGGUAGGAAGAGUGAGCGAGACACCUGAAAAACACAUUUUGCUGUGAUGGGAGGGACAGAAGUCAAAAAUGAAGCUAAAAGAUUAAAAUAUUGGACCAUGUUUAGAAUUUAUUUAAGUCAAACAGCAUACCAAACCACAGGACUUGUAACUGUUACAGAACUGCGUGAUUAUUCUGCCAAGAUAGUUAGUUCUGUUCUUUAUUUUUUAGGAUGUGCUUAGUGUUUGUUUGCUUUUUUUCCUGUCAGCAUCACACAAGUCCAGUGGUCAUCUGGACCAGGGUGGGUCAUCUGACAGCUUCACUAGGCUGUGUGGUGGGCAGCUCCCAGGUUUCAGUGGUUCCCUGCAAAGGUCACUUCCCACUCCUUGUUGGUUGCAAGACGAGCACAGCUCUGUCCCUGAGUCGUCUUCCCUGUGCUCAGCAGAGGUGAGCACAGCUUUGGCAGCUGAGGAAGAAGCAUAACAAAGGGUCAUGGGGUAGUUCUACAUAGUCUGUUCGGAACUCACCUGCAUCCCACUGCCUAUCCUCAUUGCCAGGGCUGACAUCAGUGUGGCAGCCACUCUUACUCCCUCUGGGAGGCACUGCAAGUCAUGAUGCAGUGAGCAGAAGAUUCUGCCCAAGUGGCAGCAAGUAACUGAGGGCAGCCAUGAAAUCUGCUAAUCGUCCUUCUUGACACAAAAGUGAACCUGGGCUCACACUGUAUAGUCAUUCGCUCCCCAGAGAAGUCAGUCAACCUGGGGCGAUAAUCCAGGAACUCGCUGGACCUCUACAGCAACUCCAGGUGUGGCCCCUCUGGGGCUUAGCUGAGCCCCUGUCCUCCCAGCAUACCACUGGAACCUGGAGAGGAUAACUGCCAUGGGUGCCCAUGUAGCUGGGGAGAAAUGUGAGGCAUGCAGCAGUUUGUGGAUCAGAGCAUCAGGGAGAUGCCUCGGGGCAGGACUCCUUCCCUGUUCCUCUGUUCAGCUUUGAUCACCAGCUAACUUCUGAGUUACCAUGUACCAGCAGAACAUGGUCCUGAGUCCCUGCUUUAAGUCAGGUGCAGAGGUGCUGGCCACCUAAAUGGUAGGCAGAAAGCCUGGGUGAAAGCUUCUCUCCACCAGGCCUUGGAGACGCCUUUCAGUGGGUUCUCAGAAGGUCCUAUUGGGACCAUGGCCCAUCAUGUGGCCAGUUUGGGUUUAUGUCCCUCCCACCCUGAUUCAACCACUGGACAGGAGUCAGUCUCACUUCUAAAACACACUAAGGAUGAGAAAAAUGAGGCCCAUAGAAUUUAAGUGACUUGCUCAUGGCCACAGUUACUAGCUGAGGUUAAGCUAAACCCAUCCAUCUUUUUUGGACUUAUUCUAUAAAAAAUUUAAAAGGAGGGGCUGGAGAUAUAGCUCAUUUGGUAGAGUGCUUGCCUCACAUGCACAAGGCCCUUUUGAAGUUGGUUGAAUUGAAAGAGACAAUUGUUAGAUCUAAAUUCAGAACUUCCAAAUCUUAAUGUCUUGUGUCAGUUUUAAUUUUCUGAUUUAAUUAGUUUCCUAAUUAGAAGGGUUAAAUUAAUUAACCUCAUUAUUUACUAUAUAUUUAAUGAUUUCUCCUCUAUAGGGAGUUACUUAAUUUUCAAUAAUUGGAAAGCUUAUGACAAGAGGGAAUACCACCAAGUUCUACACUUAUUGUGUUAUGGUCAGCAGCUGGCAUAGGACAGAUUAAUGGAAGUUUAAGUGAGAUUUCACCCACUUUCUUCCCACUUGUUUUGAAACAGAAAUCUUGUAAAAACUUGGAUUGGGAUUGAAUUAGUGGAAUGUCCUUUAUAAAAAGUAUCCUGUAAUAGAAUUUUAUAUUGUAAGAAAUAGCUUUAUUACAUAUUGGACAAUGAAAUCAUCAAGCAUUAAAUAAUACUAAGUUUAAUGAAAAGGACGAUUUCUGAAAUAGUCAUCUAGUUAUCUAAGAUUUACCAUGCAAAUAUCACACAAUACAGUAUUGUGUUUCUCCUCAGACUUGUCAGUGGUGGGUGACAUUUGGGAAGACACAGUAAAAUAAUCAGCCUAAUGGAUAAAUGGCUUAUGGGAAUCAAAUGUCCUGUUACUUCGUGUUUAUGUAUGUAAACAUGUACACAUUCCCAUCUGGAAGAGCAGCCGAACAGGCCUGGGAUGCAGCUGGGCGGCAGGACCAGGAAUGCACUCCUGGCUGACUGGAGGAAGGUGAUGCAGGGUGGGGUGUGCAGACGCCUAGAGAAGGGGGUCGGAGGCCUUCGGGAAAGAGCUGAGAUGAUGACUGUCCGUGUUUCUCAAAGGUCAGAAUCCAUGUGUCUCAAUUUCCUACCAAAAAAUUUUAUGGGCUGAAAUUGAGAGAGUAGAAAUUGGUCUUUCACUUCAUUCCACUCAGAGACUGUUUACCCCGUUCCAUUCAUGGUGAGCAAAGCAGUCCCCCUGGUUCCCUGACACUAGCCCAACAGUGUCCCCGUGGCUGUGACCUCCGAAUUCCAUGGCCCUCAUUGAAGUCUGAUCCACUGAGCCCGCUGCUGGACAACCCCUCUCUCCACCUCCAGCCUGGAGGCCCCUCUGCCACUGCCAGUGUUCAUGCCUUCUUCUCACCACGCUGCAGUGCUGCCUUUCUCCAAACACGCCGACUUCCCACCUCGGCCAUGGCUCUGGCCCAUGGGAAGGAGCCCCUGCUCAGACCUGUCCUCCAGCUUGGCUCAAGUGCUCCAUUUCAUGACACAUCUCUGAAGCCUGGAGAGGGAAUUUCUUUGGUCCCUUCUACUAGUGAUCAUACACAAGUAUAAACCAAGAACGAAACCGGAGUCCUUUGGCAUGGGUCACGGAUGACUAACCUAACCAAGUAUGAGAGUGUCUUAACUGACUUUGUGGCUGGUGAGAUUCUUCUCUGAACCAUUUUCAGAGCAAGGAGUAUAAUCAGAACCAAAAGGACCCUCAAAUGUGAGAGAGAACUUCAUUUAAAAUAUCAAAAAGCCUUUGAGGUACUUCAUCUCACCACCCCCACCUCACCCUCUCCCCUCCCCUACUCACAUAGGUCUUUCCUCGCAUGUCUCCCCCGCCACCAAUAUUUAGUAUAGUGUCUGAUGCCAAGUGGCGGAUAGAUAAAUGUUUAAUAGGAUUUUUCACCCUAAUUUUUAAGGCACCAUCACAGAUAAUCAGGAUUUUACAAAUUUAAAAUUCAUCUCUUCUAGUGAAGUUCCUUUGCUGUGUUUUACUUUUCAGAUGGAAAAAGAAGCCCACAGACAUUAGGUUGGGAGCUUGCAAAGUCUUUUUUUCCAUUAGAAGAAAAUAUUUUAAGCUCUGUGGUCCACACAAUUGCCACUGCAGCGCAAUACUGGCCACAGACAGUGUGUGUGCUAAGGAGCUGUGUCCAACACACCUUUUAUGCACAGGCCAGAAGGGGCUGGACAGACCUUGGCUUUGGAUCCAUGACUGGUUGAGCGUCUGAGGUCGGAGACCAACACCCAACAGACAUUAGCUGGCUAACCAGCCGUGGGGCCCCAGCACGGCACCCUGCUUCCCCGAGAUGGCUCUCUGACUCAGGAGGGGUGUCUGAAAGCUUGACCAUCAGGGAAACAAGGGAAUUAGGGCUAAUUAAUUAGUCAAGUCUUUGAAAUCCACAGAGAAAAGAGCCUCAGAAUAAGUGCAAACUGUCAUCCUCAGUAAUAUAUUUGUGGCACUUUCAUUAAAUUUUCUCUCAGAUCUUGAAAACUGUAUCUCCUGGCUGCAGAGAUUUUCAUUGCAGUAUAAUUAUGAAGCCUCCCCAAAUAAUCACUUUUUAGUUUGUGAUACUCGGUGGGGCACCAUGCCAGCUGCCAAGGCCUGAUGGAGCUGUUCAACUGGAGACUCAUUAGCACAGCACAGGUGAAAAUGAAGAGUGGUGGUGAAACUUGUUCCCAGAGUAUAAAAUGUAAAUGCCCAUUGUUCAGGGAGUUUCAUGGAAAAAAAGAAAGAAAGAAAAGAACAGCAGUAAUACAAAGAAAGUUAAAAUACCCCGGCAUCUAUCAUGAUGAGAUAUUAGGUCCGCUUUCCACAGAUACUAAUGGAAGCCAUCUUUACCACAAAGAGCGUGGAUGUUUCAACAUGUGAUAGCCAUUUUUAUGAAUGACAUUCACAAAGACAAAGGGUCACUGGUUUGGUAUGUGACUCGUUAAAUGAGUUCAUUAUUGUUCAUUUUAGUCUUUUUAAAAAAAUUUUUUAGAUGCUGAUGAACCUUUAUUUUAUUCACUUAUUUAUAUGCAGUGCUGAGAAUCAAACCCAGUGCUUCACACAUACUAGGCAAAUGCUCUACCACUGAGCCCCAGCCCCAGCCCUGUUUUAACAUAAGCAAGUGUUUGAGCUUUAACUGAGAACAAGUUUAGAGACUGCAAAUCUAAAAGGGUAUCUAUGAGCUACUCUUUGUUCAUGAACAUUCUAAUCCCAGUUAAUUCUCAGGACACACUUUCAAAGAUAUUAAAAAUCUAGCUCCAUGGAAGCUCUGUUACUAAACUGUAUUUCAUGAACAUGUGUCAUAAGGAAUUCUCUUCUCAGUUGUAAAUCGGUUCAAUUUUCAUCACUUAAAAACUUAGUAUUCUUGGGCUAGGGAUGUGGCUCAAGCGGUAGUGCGCUCGCCUGGCAUGCCUGCGGCCCGGGUUCGAUCUUCAGCACCACAUACAAACAAAGAUGUUGUGUCCGCCGAAAAACUAAAAAUAAAUAUUAAAAUUCUCUCUCUCUCUUUCUCUUUAAAAAAAAAAAAAAAACUUAGUAUUCCUUAGAAAGACAAAGAUAGUAGUAUUAUUUUUAUUUAUUUUUUAUUUAUAGUAGAUUAUUUUAUUAUAGUAGAUUAUUACUGAUCAGGAGUAUGGGUAAGAUGAAUCAAAACACAGGUCACAUCAAAGACUUAAGUGCUGCCCCCGACCAGUGCAUGCAGCUGAAUUUAAGGUCGCUCCUGUGAAUUUCCUGGGAUAUUAAAUAAAACACAGGCACAUUUUAUCUUUAAAUCAAGCUUCAGGGCAGCUCCUCUUUCUCUCAGCCUCAAGCUCCCCAAAUGGGAGAGCGAGGAGAGUCAAAAGAGGCUAGCGAGAGAGCGAGCACAUUCAGAAGUGAACUUUUAUUGGGGGGACCCUCAUUCUUAGAAAGUUCCAUCCAAAAAAGGUCAGGAGGGACAGGGUUACAAGGACAGGUGAGUAAUUCCACUCCUGGGGCUACAGGAAGGCACGUCUACGUCUGAAGACACAUUCUGCUACUUUGAGGAUCAGGGCAAUAUCCAGUCACUACGAAAGUGACCAGCAGAACCUCUCUGAUCACAGGAAGGAGAAUGCCAGUCAUUCAGUGAGACAGCCUCCCACACUUUAGAGUGAGACCCAAAACUUGAAAAUGUGGAAAACACUUCAGGACAUCAAUUUGGAUAAAGAUUUCUUGAUAUGGCCCCCAAAACACAGGCAACAAAAGCAAAAAUGAACAAAUAGGAUCACAUCAAAUUAGAGAACUUCUGUACAACAAAGGAAACCAUCAACAGUGAGACGACUUGAAAAAAUGGGAGAAAAUAUUAACCAGCUAUUCAUCUGACAAAAGUGGGGAUGCAGAACAUAUAAGCACUCAACAACAAAAACAAAAUUAAAGAUGGGCACAGGAUCUAAAUAGACAUUUAGACAUCUCUGAAAAGAAGAAACACAGAUGGCCAACACAUAUGAAAAAAACACCAGCCCUAAUCAUCAGGGAAAUGCAAAUCAGAACCACAGUGAGAAGUCACCUCAUUCCAGCUAAUCGGCUACUAUCAGACAAAAGGUGUGCAGUGAAGAUCUGGAAAAUUGGGAACUCUUAUCCAUUGUUGGUUGGAAUGUAAAUUAGCUCAGCCAUUAUAGAAAAAAAUGUGGAGACUCCUUAGAAACACAGGUACUAUAGGAUCCAGCGAUCCCUCUAUGGGGUCUGUAUCCAAAGGAACUGAAAUCUGUGUAAAGGACAUCUGUUCUCCCAUGUACAUUGCAGUACCACCUAAAGUUGCCAAGUUAUGGAAUCAACCUAGGUGCCCAUCAACAUAUGGAUGGCUAUGGAGAUACGGUCUAUGUAUAAAAUGAAAUAUUAUUCAACCAUGUAAAAGAAUAAAAUUCUGUCAUUUGCAGUUACAUGGAUGGAACUGCAGGUCAUUGUGUUAAGUGGAAUUAGACACCACAUGUUCUCACUUAGUAUGGGAAGCUAAAACACUGGCCUGAAAUAAGUAGAGAAUAAUGGUUACCAAUGCCUGGGAAGGGUGUUGGGGAGGGCAGAUGGAAAGAGAAUGGUUGCAGGGUACAGGGUGCGGUGGAUAGGAGGCACAGCUGAGGUGUCGUAGAUGGCAUAGUCGUGUACAGCAAUCAAUUGAGUAAUCCAAAAUGGCCACUAUUAGAACAUUCCUAAUACAAAGAAGCAACAAAGAUAUGAGGUGAUAAUACAAUUACCCUGAUCUGAUCUUUUUAAAAAAUAUCUCCUCUGUGGCCUGGCGCGGUGGCACACGCCUGUAAUCCAAGCAGCUUGGGAGGCUGAGACAGGAGGAUCACGAGUUCAAAGCCAACUUCAGCAACAACAAAGCACUAAGCAACUUUGUGAGAUUGUCUCUAAAUAAAUAGGGCUGGGGAUGUGGCUCAGUGGUCGAGUGCCCCUGAGCUCAAUUCUUGGUACCAAACAAAAAACCCUCAUGUGUUAAAAAAAUAACAGAAAAGGAAAGAGAUCAUAGAAAGAGACAGGGCAGGCCUGACUGGAUGGCCUCGGCUUCCCGCUCUGCCCACCGUGGGGUAAAGAUCCACGUCAAGGAUAGAGGUGUUCCUCUCGCUCCGAGUUACCCCACAGCCCCAGGGAGGGCCCGUCUGUGGGGGGCAGAGGAAGUCUGGAGAACAAAGGACAACCUCAACGACAUGAAAACAGUUUGUCUCUAGAGUGUUUUUCAGGCACCCUCGAUCACAGAAUGUUUAAUAGAGUUCUGGACAACUCUAGCGUCUUCCUGAGAGAGGGCACUCGCUGAGUGUGAAGCGAGCUGGGAGAACUCUCACAGAGGCACCAAAGCCAGGGGAGUCGGCAACCUUGUGUGCUCCAUGUUCUAUUCCUGUGAGGUGCAAGUACCGUUCCUUCCAGCUUCUCAGGCCAGUAAGGGAAGAUGGACCAGCAGCAGCAAAAUGUAUGAGCUGACCCUGACCCAGGGGCCUUGGCAAGGAAAUGAAGACACAAAGAAGUGGUUCAACCUGCGCUUUUUAUUCUGCAUUCAAAGAAGAGUGGGAUUGUGGGAAAAUAUGAUAGGGCAAAGACUGGGAGCCAGGGCUGACACGCUGGGGGAACACAGUAGGAGCUCUUCCCAGCCCUCGCUUGAGGGUCUUAGGCCUGCUUCAGGGCAGGGCCUUCCUGCCACUUCCCAAAUUCCUUCAGCUUGAAAGCUCAGUGUGCCAAGGAGACUGCGGCAGCACCUCCCAGACCCCAUCAAGUGUGGGACCAGCACAAAACUGGACUUGUACGUUCUAUGUUAGGCUUUGUGAUGUACGGAUUUCAUUCUGCACACCCACGACAUUCACUAGAAUCAGAGACAGAAGCUUCCUCCCCACUGCUUUUUGCAGUGGUACCUGCAUAAAGAUUGACCAGAGAUUGGCAGGCUUGAAACCCUGUCCCUGGAUAUCUGCCCAGUGGCCAUUCCUGGUGUUUUAGUCAGCUCUUUCGCUGCUGUGACUAAAAGAUCUGACCAGAACAAUUUUCGGGAAGAAGAGUUUAUUUGAGGGCUCAAGGUUUCAGAGGUCUCAGUCCACAGAAGGCCAGCUCCAUUCCUCAGGGCGAGGUGAGGCAGGACAUCAUGGCAGAAGAGUGUGGUGGAGGGAAGCAGCUCACAGGGUGGUCAGAAAGCAGAGAGUGACUCCACUCUCCAGCACAAAUGUAUGUCCCCAAGCCACACCCCUUCCCACCUCCUCCAGCCUCACCCCAGCACCUCAGUCACCUCUCAUUUAUCCCCAUCAGGGGAUUAAUAAGUUAGGACCCUUACAACCCAAUCGUUUCUCCUCUGAGCCUUCUUGCACUGUCUCACAUGUGAGCUUUUGGGGAACUUCUCACAUCCAAACCAUAACACCUGGAAUCUAUAGUAGGGCAGUGGCUUUAUUUCCCAUCAAGGGUUGUUUUCAAUUAUAAAAUGCUGAAUUCCAGCUCUCUUACUGCUAAAUAAAGACCCAGAACUGCAGAGAAAGGGCAGAGGCCUCACCAGGGCCCUGGGGUCCCACCCAGCUGUCCUUUUCUCCCCCACUCCACACUGGCCCCUUGUUUACUUGGCUCCCUUUUUCCAAUCCUCUUCCAUCUUGUUUGAUUGAUAUUUUGCUUCCUUUCCAUUCUCUACUGCCAAGAGAGCAGCUUUUAUCAAUAAAGUAAGACAAGCUACAGGAAGUUAAAUCGGGUCAAUUUAAUGUGGAAACAUGCUGUUCUCACCUUGAAUCUUACAAAACCAAUUUGGCUCAUGAAAGUGAAGCAUUUUGUUAGAGGAUUUUCAUCCUUAAUGGCAAAAGCAGUCUUGCCUCUGUGUGCGUUCAUACGUGUGCAUGAGGGCUCUGCUGUCUCUGGGAGCUUGCUCCGAUUCCCUCCAGGAACAGCUUUAGGCUUCCGGGUAGCUGACGCACACAUCCACCUUACCAAUCCAGGGGCCCUGUGACGAAGGCCCAUGGAAAACCACAUCCACCCACGGCCAACCUGGGUGUUGCCAAGGCAAAGGAAUACAGAAUGAGAAGAAGAAGAAAGCAGAAGUGUGAUCUACCGUCUGUAUCCGGAAAUUAAGCAUGGUUCAAGGCAAUGUCCGCUGCACAAAGGAUGGCGUGGGCAUGGCUACGUUGUGUCCACUCUGCUGGGAAUGCACUUCUCAGCAUUCGCUUCCAGGCAUGGUUGGGGUAGGCACUGUCCUGAAAGGCAUUUGCCCAUGGUUCGCAAGGCAGACGUGGGUCACCAACCAUGUUUUUCAUAUGCUCCAGAGGCUGGUGCAGGGCAUGGGACACUGGUGCAGCCCAUGCACAUUGUCACCUUUCUGCUGGCCCAUGGAACUGGUGGCAGCAGCUGCACCCGCAGCACUUCCUGCUCCUGCUAGGUCCUCCUUCAGCUCUCCCACCUCCAGGGCCAGAGUGUUUAAGUCCUGCAGCAUCUCCUGGCCACCCACUCACUGAAGCUGGAGGAUUAAGCUUAGUGAGAUACUAGUGAGGGCUCCAGCUGAACCCCACGCAGUGCGGUGCAGAGUGGCUCCCUCCUCUGGCUUCCUUCCCGCCAUGCCCCGGGCACAGCCCUGCAGCCCCACUCAGUGGCUGUGGUCAGGGCUCAGUCUCUGAGGCGGAUCCCUUGAGCCCCCCUUGCUGCUCUGCUCCUAGGUGAAGGCCAGGUGCAGGGUAGGCGCUAGACACAUUUGCCCUCCUUUCCCUCCCUCUAAAGCUUCAACUCUGAUUCCAUGUGCCUGUGUCCUUAGGAACCUACCCAUUAUUUCCUCUUCCUUUUAUUUCUUCAGCCUCUCCUUAUGGGGUCCUCAAGAAGCCUUUAAGUAAGCUCACACUUUUGCAAACUCCCCCAACUCCAGUCUCCUCUAGCUUCUCCUUGUUUCCUCCUUCCUCUGGAAGGAGUUGUGUUUAAUGUUUCUCUCUUCACGUCCCAGCUCCUCAGCCCAUCUGAACUGACUUCCCCUGACAAUUCUCCAGGUACCAGUGACCACCAUAUUAUUAAAUCCACUCGCAGUGUUAGCCCAUGUCCAGUUGACCCCUGGCAGCCAGUGAUGCUGUUGACCUCUGUCCUUCAUGAAACACUCUUCCUGCUGGGCCUCCAGGCUGGUACACAGGGGCUCGCUCUCUGCAUGGCCCAGCUUAUUUUCUCAGAGGCUAUCCCGGUGCCUGUGGGGUCGAUUCUCCCUAUUGCAGGUUGAAGAUUGUGUGUCCCAAUUCCCAUGUAAAAAUCCUUACCCUAAUGACACAGCUCUAGGAGGUGAUUAGGUCAUGAGGGUGGAGCUCUCUUCAUGGGAUUAUUGCCCUUAUAAGUGACCCAGAGAGCUCUCUUGCCCUUUUCCCUUUAUGAGGACACAGUGAAAAGCUCCCUCUGUGAACCAGGAAGUGGCAAUCCAGCUGAUAGCAAUGCACUGGGGACUCACAGCCUCUAGAAUUGGGAGAGAUGAGGGUUUCUUGCUGAGCUGCCUGAUCUGUGCAUUUGUGUUGUGCAGCCCACAUAGUCUGAGACCACCCCACACUGAGGACUCACCUCAACCUCCAGCUCCACUGCCUUCAGACCUGCAGUCCUAUUUAAUAUCUCAAAGAACCACAAACUCAACACUCCAAAAAUCAAACUCACAUUUUAUACUAAAGUGUGGUUCUUUCUCUUUUCCACAUCAUGAAAGAGCCAUUCAUCCAAUUAUGCAGGUCAGAAGCCUAGACCUUCACACCUCCAUCUCUCCCACCCUCUCAGCUCACGCAGCAUGUAUCCCCCGGAUGUGACCCCUACAUUUCUCGUGAAUGAUCUUCAUGUUUCCAUCUUCACCCCACCCAUGCACCAGAGUCCACGUGACCAUCAUCAUGAGUCAACACUACUCUAGUGACCUCCUUGCAUCCCACCUGAGCUCCCCCGUUUUUCCUCUAUACAGUCCCCAAGCAUAUCUUCAAAACACAAAUCUAAUCGUAUUAUCUCCUGUUUUUUAAUAUACUCCAACAAUUUCCCCUGUUGCAUGGUCCAAAAUGCCAUGUCUGACUGCCUGUCUCACCUUUCCAGUAUCAAGCAGUUCACAUACAUGUAAUUGGAGUUUCAGAAAAAAGAGGCAAGGGAUGGAAGGAAAACAUUUGAAGAAAUAAUGAAUGAUAUUUUUCUUUUCUGAUAUAAAAUGUAAACCCUCUAUUUACUAAGAACACCCCAAAAUGAAUUGCCGCAGUCUGGCUGGGCACAAAUGCCGCAGUCUGGCUGGGCACACAAUCACGAGCCACCACACAGCUUGUAGAUUCAAACAGCAUCUCUUUAUUCCCGAACUCACACCAGCCGUCUACAAUCACGUUCUGGGGAAAUCCACGUUCUCUUCCCAAAUCCACGUUCUCUGCCCAAAUUCACCUUCUCUGCCCAAAUCCACUUCCACUGGGCUUCUAUCUCCAAAAUAUACUGUCUGAAUCCCGUGAGAACUCAAGGGGAACUCAGGCAGCAGGAUACGCCCUAUUCCCAGCAGGAAUAAUCUUAAACCUUAAACCUGGAACCUAAACUGGGAACGCCCUAAACAAGAUUAUCUUAAAACCGGGAACACCCUAAUCUGCCUUGGUCCUUGAGCAAGGUCACUUACAUUCAAUGUCACUGCAACAUGUCAGCAACAUGGGGUACGCUGGCAAGGAAAUUGUCAUACUUACUUGGCUAAUGGCUCCCAGCAAUGAAUAGCUCAAAGAAAACAACACCAAGGCAUAUAAUCAUCAAAUCAUGGAAACCACCGUCUGGGAGAAUGCCGCAGUCCGGCUGCAGCAAAAUAACCCGGGGGGUGAUGAACAACUUGUGAAUGUUGAUACAGCAGGAGUGGAAGCCCUUUAUUGCAGGACAGGAGCAGUAUUUAUACAUUCCACACAGCUUAUCUAAUUAGCAUAAACUAGAUACAGCAGUCAACCAAUCAGGAAUCUCCACACUUAAUGGCUUGCUUUGUUACUUCUCAAACCACUCCCUCUGGCAUUUUGCCAGGCACCAUCCAGACUUGUUUACGAACUUUAACAUUCCCCUGGCAAAAUGCCAGGUGUUAUUUUGACUUGUUUACAGACUCUAACAGGAGAAAACAUUUGCAAUUCAUGCAUCUGGCAAAAGACUUGUAGUUAGAAAAUAUGAAGAACUCCCAUAACUUGACAAUAAGAUGACAAAAAAAUCCUAAAAACUGUAAAGAUGGGCAAAAGAUCAGAACCACUAUCUUACAAGAAAGGGAGCAUAGCGGUCAGUGAGCACCUUGGGUCAGCACCUUGAGCCAUUCAGGAAACACAAGUCAGAGUGACAAGAUCCUAUGUCGUGUCCAGGUGUCCAGUGAGACAGCUCACAUGGGGAAGACUGGCAGCACCAGGUGUGGCUAAGCAUGGGGCAGCUACAAAUCCUGCGAAUUGCCAGUGUUAGUGGGGAGUGGUGCAGCCAUUUGGAGAAUGGCCCGGGAGUUUCACAUAAGGGAAACGUUUACCACAUGACUCAGCAAUUCCACGCCUUGGCAGAUUUACUCAAAAGAAAUAAAAAAGUACAACCACAAAUUGCUUAUACACAAAUAUUCCCAGUCUUGUUAGUCCUAAAACUGCAAGCCGGACACCAUAUGAGGUGCUUUGAGUGCCGAAUUACAAACACAGUGUGGUAUAUCCAUUCAAUGGGAUACACAUAAAUGAACCUUAGAAGUACUCUGCUGACGCAUGGUAGAAACGGAUUACAUUUAUGAGAUGUUUUGGAAUAGGCAAAAAUGUAGCCACAGAAAUAAGAAAUUGCCUGAUUUCAGAGGAAUCUUUCUGGAAUAACAGAAAUAUUCCAUACCACACUUGGCAUGGCCAUUACAUGAUAGUGACUUGUCAAAACUUAUUGAACUGUGCACUUAAAAUGGGUAUAUUUUGCUGUAUUAAAUCAUACCUUGAUAAAAUUGAUUUCUAAAGUGAUAGGAAAUUAACUAUACUGAUAACCAAUUAUCUCCAAAAUAAGACUAUUUUUUCUAAUCUCCAUAUGUUAAUUUUUACUAAUAAUUGUCUAUGUUUUAAUAAGUGAUGGUAUGAUUUAGAUUCUUUGGAAGUUAUUGAGCAGGGGAAUAAUAUGGUCUGAUUUGUAUUUUUCUUUAUAGACUUUAUGUUUUUUUAAGCAGUUCUAGUUUCAUAGCAAAAUUUAGUGGAAAAUCACACCAGACCCUGUAAAGAUGUACAAUUACUGUAUAUAUAUUAAAAACAGGGACCAGGGGUGUAAUUUAGUGGUUAAGCAUGUGCUUAGCAGUCACAGGCCCGGGGUUUAAGCUUAGAAUCAAAAUUAAAUAAAAAUAAAUAUUUUUAAAAAGAAUAAAUUCAAGUGGAGAGUGUACUGUUCACAUGAGCCCCCAACCCCCCAGGUGCACAGCCUCCCCAUCAUCAGCGUCCUCCACUGGAGUGUCCAUUUCUUAGGAUGAACCUUCACUGAAAUGGCAUUCCCACUUGGAGUACACAGCCUACAUUAGGUUUCAUUCCUGAUGAACAUUCUGUGAGUUUGGAUGGAUAUAUCAUGUGCAUUUUUUUUAAGAGAGAGUGAGAGAGAGAGAGAGAGAAUUUUUUUAAUAUUUAUUUUUUAGUUAUCAGCGGACACAACAUCUUUGUUUGUAUGUGGUGCUGAGGAUCGAACCCGGGCCGCACGCAUGCCAGGCAAGCGCGCUACCGCUUGAGCCACAUCCCCAGCCCCAUUAUGUGCAUUUUUUAAUGGUCCCUAUUGAUGAUGGAUGCAUGUGAUUUAGGUUCCCAGAUGCGCCAAGCACUACCUACCUCCAGCUUAUAGCGUCCACCCUCGACCUGGUCCACUCCUUCAUGCUACCUGAUUAUGGUUGAACCACGAAGCAACUCCAAUUUUGAAUCAAAUUAAAGCAAGCUUAUAUUUUCUUUGUUUACACAAAGAAAGCUGGCCAGGACUGUCUCUCCCUAAGCUAUGCAUCUGGCAAAAGACUUGUAGAGGUCACCAUCCCAGCUCUCCAGGAAGGGGGGUGUCUUGAGAACUUAUAGCUAACAGGAUUUUGACAAGCGUAAGACAAAGGCAGAAGGUCAAUGAUCUACAUGGCUUAACAUUUCAAGGUAGGGAAUAAAUUCAGAUCCCAACAUCAGAAUUUAUGAGGUGCCGCUAAGUUUUCAGAGAGGGUUGUUAUCUGGUCCGGGAAAGCCAGGCAUGGGUGAGGUCAAGGCACGGGCAGGAAUUCCAAAUAAGUUUAGAAAUUGCAGUAAUUUAUAGUAAAACAGAAAUUAACUUUUCAUGACUUUGUGACGAGAUGGCUCCCAAUCUUAAGAUAGAACUAGGCUGGGUUCAACAAUUAAACUCAAGCACUUUUGAGUUUUAGUGACUCCAGGAAUUUUACAGGCCCAACCCAGGGCCUUGGUCCAAUGGGCAGCAGGAUGAAGCUUAUGCCCCUGAGAGUGAUAUGCAAGAUGGCAGGGUGUGUGUGUGGGGGGAGCUUAGUCAGCUUUUCUUGCUGCUGUGACUAAAGACCUCAUCAGAACAAUUGUAGAGGAGGAAAAAUUUAUUUAGGAGCUAACAGUUUUCGAGGUCUCCAUCCAUAGACAGUGUCGCAAUGGGCAAAAGUUGCGACUUAUGCAGCUGAGGGGAAAUAUAAAGAAUGACCAGGCGCUUCUGCCCUUUUCAGUGCUUUGUUCACUCAAAUCACUGAAUACAAUUUCACUCUAUAGGUUCUUGAUCAAGAAAAUGAUGAACUUUAAUGCUGGGCACUGCAAUAGUCACAAUCAAUUCACAACAAACAAUUCUAGAUUAACUCUAAGCACUGCAAACACACUUAAUCAUGACAGGCUUGUGACAGACAUUCCCUCUGCGUGCUAAGCUCAAGUGUCAGAUCAGAAAUCUCAAGGCUUAGGCUCUAAGACCAGCAGAUGCACACUCACUCAGACCAGGGUCAUCAGGUCAGGAACCAAGGCAGGCUUCACCUGGGGUGGAGCUGACAGCAGGCUGAGAAGGUCAUAAGGAGAAGUCCUGGCUCUCACGGAGUCAAGAUGUGGCUGUAGAGUUUGAGAGUGGUGAGGAGGAUGCAGAGGAUCAGGUAAAUGAGGAGAAGAAUUGGGAUGUCAGUCCAGGUCCUCAUCAGGUUCUCCAGCGUGAGGAUAUCAGUGUCAGCUGGUUGAAUGUCUGCUCAUUUGCUCCAUUAUUUAUACUAAAUUUGGGGGCUUCUGACCAUCUUUUCAAUCCCUAUCAGCUGUUACUGGAUUUCUCAGUGAUGUCAUUUGUCCUGAGGUUAAAGCAUCUGGUCAGGUGGUCCCCACCCUGAGAUUCUCUUAUCAGGGUGAGAGCAACAUGCCAGAGGCUUUACUCUGAGUCUGUCAGGGUGAGGAGAAGUGACUUGUUUGUGCCUGAGGGCCACGCUGGAGGGCUCCAUUAGCCUUGCCUGAUGAGACUGCAGGUUUCAAACUGGAGUUUUAAAAUGGAGUUGCUUAGGCUAAGGGCCAUCCUUACAGACAACAGCCUCCAUUCCUCAGGGCUCAAGGUGAGGCAGGACAUCAUGGCGGAAGAGUGUGGCAGAGUGAAGCAGCUCAUGUGGUGAUCAGAAAGCUGAGAGAGGUCCCCACUCACCAGAUACAAAUAUAUACCCCAUAGCCACGCCCCAGUGAGCCACUUCCUCCAGCCACACCCUACCUGCCUCUAGUUAUCACUCAGUUAAUGCCAGCAGGGACUAAUUCACUGAUUAGGUCAAGGCUAUGUCCAAUCAUUUCUCUUCCAAACCUUCUUGCAUUGCUCCCAUGUGCCAUUUGAGGGGUCACCCCAUCUAAACCACAACAGGAAGACAGAUCCUAGGUGGAGCUGGCAGGACGGGAGAUGAUGUGGUAGUAAACCAUUCAGACCUGGGAUCAAGGACCAGAGAGGAAUAGCUGUCCCUACCCACCCUGCCCGACCUGCCCCCUGCCUUGAUCCUCCUAUGAUGCUGGAGACUAUGGCCCAGAAGGCGGAUCUUACCUUUCUAUGGCAGAAACUUAAGAGAAAAAAGAAAAAGGGCACUCAAAAUUUAUUACAGGCCUGAGGCCUGGGAGUACACUCCUGAGUCUUUCAUUUCACAAGCGCCUGCAUUUGUAGGUUGACGACCCUCCCCACCAUAUGGGUGUUUCUGAAGGAGUGGUGACACCAGCCCCAAACCCACCUAUGCAGAGCUGCCCCCUGGGGGUAGGAAAGUGAAAGCCACCUGUUCUGCUCACGCCAGUUGCAGCAGGGCUGCAGCCCAGGGUUUUCACUGCUCCAUAGGCUGGAAUUGUGGCUUGGCUCUUCAGUCUUUAACACAGCCAGAUCUUGUGCUGGUGCCUAAGCCUCGCGCUGCAGCUGUGCACACAGAAGCAAACCUGGGCGUGACGUGGCUCUGUGCCUGCUUGCUUCCAGGUCGCUGGCAAUGCAGGCUUUUGAGUUGUUUUUAUCAAAGUUGGAUUAGAGCUUGCAAGGUUCUCCCCAGUGUACUGCUGGUGGUCUGCCCUUUCUGAAAGAUAGUACUUCCAAAAAAAAUUGUUACAGCUAGUUCUUUUGGCAUUUACUUGUUUUUAAAUAAUGGGCUUGUGCUGUAUUUCUGAACUUUUCACUUUUAACCGUGACGUGUUGAUGCCUGAUUGUGGGAAAUGGAGAUGGCUGCACCUCUCCACUCACACUCUCUCCUGUGUAAAAGCUCUCAGUGAGCCGCGUGGGUACUGUCCUCAAACAGUUGGCUCUCGGGGCACUUUGAUCACACCCCCUCACCCAACGCUGUCUUCCUGCAAUAUUCCUCAGCUCUGUCUUUCCAUUAGGUUAGCCUGACAAGCCCCUGUAACUGGUGUCUUUGCUGAGGUGUCUCUACUGGGGCCCUGAGCAUCUGGUCCCAUUCUGCACCAGCUGAUGCCUGAGGUCCUGCAGCCUCCCUCUCCACCUCUCCUUCUCCUGACUGGACGGAUCCCUUUUCUUCUGCUGCCAACAUCUCCCUCUUCCUUCCUAGGGUACCUAGGGUCUCCUAUGAAAACAUGCAUGGCAGGUAACAAUUUUAAAGUCCUCUCUGAUAACUAAGGAAUUGAUUUCUUUUUUUUUUUUUUUUUAUAUUUAUUUUUAAGUUUUUUUUUAGGUGGACACAAUAUCUUUAUUUUACAUUUAUGUGGUGCUGAGGAUCGAACCCAGUGCCUCAUGCAUGCUAGGCGAGCACUCUACCGCUGAGCCACAACCCCAGCCCCAGGAAUUGAUUUCUAUUCUACACCCAACCUUGGCUAAUUUGCUAGGAUACAGAAUUCCACACUGAACAUAACUUCUCAGUUUUAAGGACGUGGCUUCAUGGUCCACAGCCUCCAGCAUCAUUUGUGAGACACCUGGUGUCAUCCCAGGCCUGGCUUGUGUGAGACGCUGCUUUUGACUCCCUCUAUGCAGAUGUGGAGAAGUGUUCACUGCCCCCACCACCCAGUUGCCAUGGAAACGUGCCUUGAUUUUUGGACUGGGCAUUCUUGGAACUUGUGGAACCCUUCCAGUUUGGGAGCUUGAGUUCUCUGGCUCUGACAGAGCAGCCCCUGCCACACGUGCCACGGGGCCUUGAAACUAGCACUCCCGUGGAAAUGGAAAUACUUCAAGUAUAUUGGGUUAAAGAAAAUGAAAUAUAUUAUCAAAAUUAGCUUCAUUUCUUUUUUCUUAUAUUUUGAAAAAUGGAAGUAGAGGGCUGGGGCUGGGGCUCAGUGAUGGAGCACUUGCCUGGCAUGUGUGAGGCACUGGGUUCGAUUCUCAGUGUCACGUAAAAUAAAUAAAGGUCUAUCAACACUUAAAAAAAAUGCAAGUAGAGACUCACACUUACAGCUCUGUUCUAGAGAAGUCAUCAGGAACCAUGUCUUUGAAAAUUUCUUGCCCUUUUUCUUUUCCUUAAGUCCACACUCCUCUAUCAAUAGCCUUUGUUUGUUUGUUUGUUGCUGUCCUGAGGAUGGAACCCAGGGGCCCUCUACCACUGAGCUACAUCAACAGUCCUUUUUAUUUUAUUUUAUUUUAAAUCUUGAGACAAGGUCUCCCUAAAUUUCCCAGGCUGGCCUUGAACUUGCCACCCUCAGCCUCCCAAGUGACUGGAUCACAGGCGUGCACCACUGCACCCUGCUCCACGGCUUUUUCUUUUUUUAAAGUCCUUUGAAUUUUCAUGUAGAUUUUACUGAGAGCUUUUUCUUUUAUUUUCUGAUUUUGUUGCAUUUUUCUACUUUCUUGAAGAAUUUUGAAAAACUUGUCUUCUACUGAGUUUUUUUAAAAAAAUUAUCAUGGAAAUUUGUAGACUUAUGCAAAAUAGAGUGUCACUAGGGGGCAAAAUUGCAAUGUAUGCAGUCGAGGGGAGAAAUAAAGAAUGUCCACACGCUUCUGCCCCUUUCGAUGCUUUAGUCACUCAAACUGCUCCAUACAAUUUUGCUCUAUACCUUCUUAAUCAAGACACUCCUUAAUGCUGGGCUGCAAUAGACAUAAUCAGUUCCCAGCAGACAAUUCUAGGUUAAUUCUAAGCACUGCAAAACACACUUAAUCAUGACAGGCUAAUGACAGUCAUUCCCUCUGCAGGCUAAGUUCAAAAGUCUCAAGCCUUAGGCUUUAUGUCCAGCAGAUGCCCACUCACUCAGACUGCGGUGACCAGGUCUGGAACCAAGGCAGGCUUCUCCUGGGGUGGAGUGGAUGACCCAUUGAGGAGAGGGUCAUAGGAAGAAGCUGUGGCUCUCACCAGGGUCCAGACGGGGCGGUAGGGUUUGAGAGUGGUGAGGAUCACGCAGAGGAUCAGGAACGAUGACAAUGAUGGGAUGUCAGGUCCUCAUCAGGCCUCCAGCCCGAGUGCACCCUUGUUUUGGCUGGCUGAAUCCCUGUUCAUUUGCUCGAUCAUUUAUACUAAAUUUUGGGGCUUUUUGACCUCCCUUUCAAUCCUUAUCAGCUACCACCGGAUUUCUCAGUGACAUCAUUUACCCUGGGGUCAGAAACAUCUGGUCUGGUGGUCUCCACCCCAUCAGGCGAGGACAGCCUGCCAGGGGCUUCCUCUGUUUAUCAGGGUGAGGGGAAGGGACUUGUCUGAGGCCACAGUGGAGGGCUCUGUGGGUGUGCCUGGUGAGACUGCAGGUUUCAAAUGGAGUUUUGAAACCUGCAGUCUCAGCCGAAACAAGGGUGCACUUGAGUGGGAGGCCAGAUGAGGACCUGACAUCCCAUCACUUGUCAUCGUUCCUGAUCCUCUGGGUGAUCCUCACCGCUCUCAAACUCUACUGCCUCAUCUGGACCUUGGUGAGAGCUGCAACUGUCAGAUCAGGCGAGGCGGGCAGCGACCAAAGGAGGCAGAUUUAAAAGGGCCGCUGAAGGAGGCUUUAUUGAGACAUCACUCCCGGGCGGAACUCGAUCAGACCCACAGAGGGGACAGGAGAAGGGUCUGAGGAGAAGCUCCUCUGGACUUUUAUGGGGCUUACAGCAGGAAGGGAAGGGCUUGGGACAGGAAAAGGUGUUUCUAGGGUCCCUUGCCCCCUUGGAGUUGGUCAGGGGAGCUGGCUGAACUCCAGGAUUGGCCAGGGGGUCCUGCUGAUUGACAGGCUUUUCCGCUGGCAUCUGAUUGAUGUUCUUUUCCUUCCGGCCAAGUCGCCACCAAGUCGCCACCAAGUCGCCACCACCGACCUAACAGCAACUUCCCCAUACCACCCUCUCUCAAUGGUUCAGCCACUCCACCCCAGGAGAAGCCUGCCUUGGUUCCAGACCUGGUCACCGCGGUCUGAGUGAGUGGACAUCUGCUGGACAUAAAGCCUAAGGCUUGAGACUUCUGAACUUAGCCUGCAGAGGGAAUGCCUGUCAUUAGCCUGUCAUGAUUAGAAUUAAUCCGGAAUUGUUUUUAGUAAAUUGAUUAAUCUAGAAUUGUUUGCUGUGAAUUGAUUUUGUCUACUGCAGUGCCCAACAUUAAAGAUUGACGUUUUCUUGAUUAAGAACCUACGGAGUGAAGUUGUAUUGAGUGAUUUGAGUGAAUAAAGCAUUGAGCGGUGGUAGCUGUGACAUUCAUUUAUUUCUCCCCCUCGACUGUAUACAUUGCAACUUUACCCCCUCGUGACAACAGGGCAGGCUGAGGCCUCUGUCUCUCUGUCUGCCAUUGGCAGGCAGCCACAUUUUCUCCCACCCCAACUGCGAGGGAGGAAGGCCAAUAUCCCCAAAUAAUCAAGGUUUCCUGUCAGGAAGGGGAAAUGGAUUCUUGUGGAUAUGACAGUGAAAGAAAGAUAGAAAGGAAGGGAAAGAAGGGAGGAGGAGAGGGAGGGAGGGAGGGAGGGGAAAAAUCUUUUAUAAGUCCUUGCUUAGCAUCUGGGUGGCCAUCUUAAGUGACAGGCGGCAUUUUAAGGAAAGGUUUUGCUUUCCCACCCUUGGGCCUUUCUGAGAAAGGCUCACCACUCCCUCAAACCCACCCAGCCCUUCACCACCUGAAUUCUUUCCCGCCCAAGGAUGUACCAGUCCCCCUUAAUCGCCCACCUGAGGACCCCAGCUCUAAUCCCUGAGCCACCCCCAUAAAAGUCUCCAACCCCAGGUCUUAUUGCCUCUCUCCACUAUGGAGGGAUGUGCCUUUAUUUGUCACCUCUGACCCACAGACUGUCUCCUGUCUCUCUGCCUGGUCUCCGCCUUGCAUUUCUCGCUCACCGUGUCCGCCUCCUCGCUGUCCUUUCACCUUUCUCUCUCUGUCCGGGGGCAAAACCUAAACAUGAAGACUCCUGUCCUCUUUUACUUCACAAAUGUAACCCAGCCCCUCGCCCCCUUAGGUGUCCGGAUGGGACUCAGGACACGCCGCCGCCAGCUGACUGCGGAAUCCACCCGCACUCGGACACACCUCUGUAUGUUGGAGAGAGCUCUGGAAUGACCUCUUGCAGAGAAAUCCACACCCCAGCAGUCCUGCUGGUGAGGGUGCCUCCCCUCCGGAAUCAGCUGCAUAAAGACGGUGAUGGCAGAACCAGACCUGGCUGUGAAAUGAAAGUAAAAAUGUUAUGGUGAGAAACUGGCCUGGGAAAGGGGCCAGUUCCCCUCCCCUCUCUCAGGCUUUCUCCAGGAAGCCUAAUUGACCUUUGGGGUUGUAGAUAACUUCCCCUGCGGGUCUGACUGAGAAACUGAUGUGACUCCAUUUUAAAAAAUAAAUAAAUAAUAGCAGCUUCUACCUCA